GUCGGGAAUUUUGGGCAAUGGGCGAAAGCCUGACCCAGCAACGCCGCGUGAAGGAUGAAAUCCCUCGGGAUGUAAACUUCGCAAGAACGGGAAGAAUAAGUCUGUGUAAAUACCACUGACGAUGACGGUACCGUUUGUAAGCUCCGGCUAACUCCGUGCCAGCAGCCGCGGUAAUACGGGGGGAGCAAGCGUUGUUCGGAUUUACUGGGCGUAAAGGGCGCGUAGGCGGCCAGUGCAAGUCAGUUGUGAAAUCUCCGAGCUUAACUCGGAAAGGUCAACUGAUACUGCUCGGCUAGAGUGCGGAAGGGGCAACUGGAAUUCUUGGUGUAGCGGUGAAAUGCGUAGAUAUCAAGAGGAACACCUGCGGCGAAGGCGGGUUGCUGGGCCGACACUGACGCUGAGGCGCGAAAGCUAGGGGAGCGAACGGGAUUAGAUACCCUGGUAGUCC
RNAcentral lists this ribosomal RNA (448 nucleotides) under uncultured bacterium. RNAcentral's name for it is "bacterial SSU rRNA". It matches the Rfam family "Bacterial small subunit ribosomal RNA", at positions 354 to 796 of the family's 1533-position model. The record is from RNAcentral.